RNAcentral lists this ribosomal RNA (450 nucleotides) under uncultured Glomeromycotina. RNAcentral describes it as "SSU rRNA". It matches the Rfam family "Eukaryotic small subunit ribosomal RNA", at positions 569 to 1022 of the family's 1831-position model. The record is from RNAcentral. Lineage: Eukaryota; Fungi; Glomeromycota.
AGCAGCCGCGGUAAUUCCAGCUCCAAUAGCGUAUAUUAAAGUUGUUGCAGUUAAAAAGCUCGUAGUUGAAUUUCGGGGUUAGCAAGUUGGUCGUGCCAUUGGUAUGCACUGGCUUUGCUGAUUCCUCCUUCUUGAAGAACUGUAAUGCUAUUAAUUUAGUGUUGCAGCGAAACAGGACUGUUACUUUGAAAAAAUUAGAGUGUUUAAAGCAGGCUAACGCUUGAAUACAUUAGCAUGGAAUAAUGAAAUAGGACGUUUGAUCCUAUUUUGUUGGUUUCUAGGAUUGACGUAAUGAUUAAUAGGGAUAGUUGGGGGCAUUAGUAUUCAAUUGUCAGAGGUGAAAUUCUUGGAUUUAUUGAAGACUAACUACUGCGAAAGCAUUCGCCAAGGAUGUUUUCAUUAAUCAAAGAACGAAAGUUAGGGGAUCGAAGACGAUCAGAUACCGUCGUA